GGGAAUCUUCGGCAAUGGGCGAAAGCCUGACCGAGCAACGCCGCGUGAAUGAAGAAGGCCUUCGGGUUGUAAAGCUCUGUCUUCAGGGACGAUAAUGACGGUACCUGAGGAGGAAGCCACGGCUAACUAAGUGCCAGCAGCCGCGGUAAUACGUAGGUGGCGAGCGUUGUCCGGAUUUACUGGGCGUAAAGGGAGCGUAGGCGGACUUUUAAGUGAGAUGUGAAAUACUCGGGCUCAACUUGAGUGCUGCAUUUCAAACUGGAAGUCUAGAGUGCAGGAGAGGAGAAUGGAAUUCCUAGUGUAGCGGUGAAAUGCGUAGAUAUUAGGAGGAACACCAGUUGCGAAGGCGGCUCUCUGGACUGUAACUGACACUGAGGCACGAAAGCGUGGGGAGCA
RNAcentral lists this ribosomal RNA (396 nucleotides) under uncultured bacterium. RNAcentral's name for it is "bacterial SSU rRNA". It matches the Rfam family "Bacterial small subunit ribosomal RNA", at positions 357 to 770 of the family's 1533-position model. The record is from RNAcentral.